AGUACACCACUUGCUCUUUUGCUCCACAGUCCACGCACAUAAAGAAUAAAAUCCCUGCUUACCUAAACUACAACACACUGAUAUUACAUGAUAAACACACAACAGACAGGGUCGGAUUGAAACAAAUUUAUAGUAAAAAUUGCAACUAAAUAUAUCCACAUCAGUUCAUCAGAUCUAAUAUAUUUAGAUCAGAUCUAAUAUAUUCAGAGAUCCAGGCCACAAAAUUAAUACGUGUUUGAAUUGUGUUUUGUGUAUUUCAAAAACAUGUAUGGCGAAGAAGGCAAACAAAGUUUUACAAAUAAAGGGUUUUUUUUAAAUAUUACUGAAUGUUUCUUUGGUUUCGCCAACUCGAAGCUUAGAAGGUAGUCCUAUACUGAAAUUAUCAAGAUCUGAUAGGUGAAUCAGUACAGCCAUAUGCAUCAAAUACCGUUGUUCUAGCUCCUUCUCUCUCAAAGCAGAUAGCUGUGCUGGUAUUUCAGCUGUCUCAACAGGUUCAGCAUUUGGUCUUCUAACAUGAUUUUUCAGUGAAAAUAUUGGAAACGUAUUAUCAAUUGUAGCAUCAUUGUUGCCUGUUGUCUGCAAAAAUGAUUCCCACCAUCCUUGUGCUGUUGAGGUCAUUACAGAAAACCAUUUUUGCAUGUCAACUGCAAGCUUAGGUUUGCAGUUGAUUUGCAGACUCUUCGAAGAUUUGGUACAUCAGUUUUGGAUUGAUCCAUACCAUCCAAUAUGAUUGUUAGAUA
This is a long non-coding RNA of Dendronephthya gigantea, 740 nucleotides long. RefSeq lists it as uncharacterized. The record is from RefSeq and is a predicted model, not a curated record. Lineage: Eukaryota; Metazoa; Cnidaria; Anthozoa; Malacalcyonacea; Nephtheidae. The transcript has 3 exons.